RNAcentral lists this ribosomal RNA (422 nucleotides) under uncultured bacterium. RNAcentral's name for it is "bacterial SSU rRNA". It matches the Rfam family "Bacterial small subunit ribosomal RNA", at positions 355 to 774 of the family's 1533-position model. The record is from RNAcentral.
UAAGGAAUAUUGGUCAAUGGAGGCAACUCUGAACCAGCCAUGCCGCGUGAAGGAUUAAGGCCCUCUGGGUCGUAAACUUCUUUUAUAUGGGAAGAAAUGUUCUGAUUCUUCAGAGCUUGACGGUACCAUAGGAAUAAGCACCGGCUAACUCCGUGCCAGCAGCCGCGGUAAUACGGAGGGUGCAAGCGUUAUCCGGAUUCACUGGGUUUAAAGGGUGCGUAGGUGGGCAGAUAAGUCAGUGGUGAAAUCUUCCGGCUUAACCGGAAAAUUGCCGUUGAUACUAUUUGUCUUGAAUAUUGUGGAGGUAAGCGGAAUAUGUCAUGUAGCGGUGAAAUGCUUAGAUAUGACAUAGAACACCAAUUGCGAAGGCAGCUUACUAUAUAAUUAUUGACACUGAGGCACGAAAGCGUGGGUAGCGAACA